GACGAACGCUGGCGGCGUGCUUAACACAUGCAAGUCGUACGGUAAGGCCCUUUCGGGGGUACACGAGUGGCGAACGGGUGAGUAACACGUGAGUAACCUGCCCACAACUUUGGGAUAACGCUAGGAAACUGGUGCUAAUACUGGAUAUGUGCUCCUGCUGCAUGGUGGGGGUUGGAAAGCUCCGGCGGUUGUGGAUGGACUCGCGGCCUAUCAGCUUGUUGGUGGGGUAGUGGCCUACCAAGGCGGCGACGGGUAGCCGGCCUGAGAGGGUGACCGGCCACAUUGGGACUGAGGUACGGCCCAGACUCCUACGGGAGGCAGCAGGGGGGAAUAUUGCACAAUGGGCGCAAGCCUGAUGCAGCAACGCCGCGUGCGGGAUGACGGCCUUCGGGUUGUAAACCGCUUUCAGCAGGGACGAAGCUUUUUGUGACGGUACCUGCAGAAGAAGCACCGGCUAACUACGUG
Molecule: ribosomal RNA, 465 nt
Filed under: uncultured bacterium
Lineage: Bacteria
Description: partial 16S ribosomal RNA
Rfam family: Bacterial small subunit ribosomal RNA
Source: RNAcentral